CCUACGGGAGACAGCAGUGAGGAAUAUUGGUCAAUGGGCGUAAGCCUGAACCAGCCAAGUCGCGUGAGGGAUGAAGGUUCUAUGGAUCGUAAACCUCUUUUAUAAGGGAAUAAAGUGUGGGACGUGUCCUGUUUUGUAUGUACCUUAUGAAUCAGGAUCGGCUAACUCCGUGCCAGCAGCCGCGGUAAUACGGAGGCUCCGAGCGUUAUCCGGAUUUAUUGGGUUUAAAGGGUGCGUAGGCGGCCUUUUAAGUCAGCGGUGAAAGUCUGUGGCUCAACCAUAGAAUUGCCGUUGAAACUGGGAGUCUUGAGUAUGUUAGAGGCAGGCGGAAUGCGUGGUGUAGCGGUGAAAUGCUUAGAUAUCACGCAGAACCCCGAUUGCGAAGGCAGCCUGCCAAGCCAUGACUGACGCUGAUGCAUGAAAGCGUGGGGAUCAAACAGGAUUAGAUACCUUUGUAGUC
This 460-nucleotide ribosomal RNA is filed under the name uncultured bacterium. RNAcentral describes it as "partial 16S ribosomal RNA". It matches the Rfam family "Bacterial small subunit ribosomal RNA", at positions 338 to 795 of the family's 1533-position model. The record is from RNAcentral.